Molecule: non-coding RNA, 688 nt
Filed under: Stygobromus allegheniensis
Lineage: Eukaryota; Metazoa; Arthropoda; Malacostraca; Amphipoda; Crangonyctidae
Source: RNAcentral
UAAAUCUUUAUUUUAUAAAUUUAAAUAUAAUAUUUUACAUAUAAGAAUUUCUUUCUUUUUUAAAAAUAAAUUUAUUUUUUUUUUAGAGUUUAUAUAUUUGUUAAAUUUUUUAUUAAUUGAGCAGUAGUUAUAUAAAGAUUAGCAAAUUUUGUGCCAGCAGCUGCGGUUAUACUAGUAAUCUUGAUUUUUUAGAAGUUGUUUUGUAAGUAAGCCAGUUUGGUCAGGAUUACUAAGGUGAAAUUUGGGUUUGGGUUUACUUUUAUUUUUUAUUUAUACAAAUAAAUUAAAAACUAGGAUUAGAUACCCUACUAUUAGUUGUUUUUAGUGAGAAGUAAAGUUAAAAUUAAAGGAUAUGGCGGCUUUUUCUUAUUAGAGGAGGUUGUAGCUGUUGAUUGAUGCGACACAUUAUUGUUUUACUUAUUUUACAGUUAUGUAUACCGUCAUUUAAAUAAUCUUAUAGGGGGAAAUUUUUAUAGCUUUGUUAAAAAAGUUAGAUCAAGGUGCAGAUAUUAAUAAGAGGCUAUUAUUUACAUUAUAUAGUUAUACACGGAUAUUUGUUAAAGAUAGAUUGAAGGUGAAUUUAGUUGUAAUAUUUUAUAAAUGAAUACAAAGGAAGAGUGUACAAAUUGCCCGUCGUUCUCUUUGAGAUAAGUCGAAACAAAGUAGGGUUACCUGAAGGUGGCUCUAA